UAGCUCAGAUGGUAAAGAAUCUGCCUGCAAUGCAGAAGACCCAGGUUCAAUCCCUGG
This 57-nucleotide transfer RNA is filed under the name Odocoileus virginianus texanus. It matches the Rfam family "tRNA", at positions 8 to 63 of the family's 71-position model. Rfam says of the family: Transfer RNA (tRNA) molecules are approximately 80 nucleotides in length. Their secondary structure includes four short double-helical elements and three loops (D, anti-codon, and T loops). The record is from Rfam by way of RNAcentral. Lineage: Eukaryota; Metazoa; Chordata; Mammalia; Artiodactyla; Cervidae. RNAcentral also lists the same sequence under 7 other names.